AUAGUGCAUUGAUUUUGUGAACCGUAGCUACUGUCAAAGUUUCUAAAGAAUUGCUUGUGUCAAAUUGAGAUAGCUCUUUGAAUUAUUGUUGGGUUUUUGCAGUUAUAUAUUUUUUUCAUUUUUUGUUAGCAGCUGAUUACCAUUAUCAAAUAGAAUGGGUCAUUAUCAAAUAGAAUUGAGUUAAUACACAUAUUCAGUAAUUCAAUUAUCUAGCUGCUUUGACCCUUUCCUCACUUGACCCUUUGUGUUUGUUUUUCAAUGCUUAGGUUGCCACCAUAAGCAGGAGAUAUUAGUGGACUUGACCACAGUGAUACUAAGAUCAUUCAAUAUUCUUUGAAUUAUUAGUUGUUCCGAAAUGAAAUGUUCGCUCAAUCUGGACUAAUUUGUUUAAGUUCGGUAUGGUGAGAUUCCAAAAGCUAUUUUUAGAUGUACUCCAGGGAUCAUCCUGCUGAAUAAAGCCAAGUGGUACAACCCUUAUUUUCUAGGCCCAAAAUAUACGAUAAUUAUUAUAUGCAUGAACUAAAGUCUGCAUGAACUACAAAUCUGCGAUGCGAAGCUGCUCGCAUUUGAGGUCUCUAGCAGACCGACUACACCUCUACAGAGCUUCAUGCAAUCAUGCUGGACGACGCUUACAACAACAAAGGGGUUGGGUAAUUCCAAAGGAUAGAGUUUCUUAGUAUCUUCAGAGAAGCAAGCUCUUUGGAUUAAGUUCCUCAGGAAGAAGGAUGUACCUGAUUACCUUUGUAUAUGCAGUUUAUGAGACACGAAUAAUGUUGUUACAUUCAUACAGAAAUGCCAUGCAACUUUUAUUCAAUUAUUCGAGAAAGAUUUAUGCGUAUCA
This is a long non-coding RNA of Panicum virgatum (switchgrass), 841 nucleotides long. RefSeq lists it as uncharacterized. The transcript has 3 exons. The record is from RefSeq and is a predicted model, not a curated record. Lineage: Eukaryota; Viridiplantae; Streptophyta; Magnoliopsida; Poales; Poaceae.